AAAUUGAAGAGUUUGAUCAUGGCUCAGAUUGAACGCUGGCGGCAGGCCUAACACAUGCAAGUCGAACGGUAACAGGAAGCAGCUUGCUGCUUCGCUGACGAGUGGCGGACGGGUGAGUAAUGUCUGGGAAACUGCCUGAUGGAGGGGGAUAACUACUGGAAACGGUGGCUAAUACCGCAUAACGUCGCAAGACCAAAGAGGGGGACCUUCGGGCCUCUUGCCAUCAGAUGUGCCCAGAUGGGAUUAGCUAGUUGGUGAGGUAACGGCUCACCAAGGCGACGAUCCCUAGCUGGUCUGAGAGGAUGACCAGCCACACUGGAACUGAGACACGGUCCAGACUCCUACGGGAGGCAGCAGUGGGGAAUAUUGCACAAUGGGCGCAAGCCUGAUGCAGCCAUGCCGCGUGUAUGAAGAAGGCCUUCGGGUUGUAAAGUACUUUCAGCGGGGAGGAAGGUGUUGCGGUUAAUAACCGCAGCAAUUGACGUUACCCGCAGAAGAAGCACCGGCUAACUCCGUGCCAGCAGCCGCGGUAAUACGGAGGGUGCAAGCGUUAAUCGGAAUUACUGGGCGUAAAGCGCACGCAGGCGGUCUGUCAAGUCGGAUGUGAAAUCCCCGGGCUCAACCUGGGAACUGCAUUCGAAACUGGCAGGCUUGAGUCUUGUAGAGGGGGGUAGAAUUCCAGGUGUAGCGGUGAAAUGCGUAGAGAUCUGGAGGAAUACCGGUGGCGAAGGCGGCCCCCUGGACAAAGACUGACGCUCAGGUGCGAAAGCGUGGGGAGCAAACAGGAUUAGAUACCCUGGUAGUCCACGCCGUAAACGAUGUCUACUUGGAGGUUGUGCCCUUGAGGCGUGGCUUCCGGAGCUAACGCGUUAAGUAGACCGCCUGGGGAGUACGGCCGCAAGGUUAAAACUCAAAUGAAUUGACGGGGGCCCGCACAAGCGGUGGAGCAUGUGGUUUAAUUCGAUGCAACGCGAAGAACCUUACCUGGUCUUGACAUCCACAGAACUUUCCAGAGAUGGAUUGGUGCCUUCGGGAACUGUGAGACAGGUGCUGCAUGGCUGUCGUCAGCUCGUGUUGUGAAAUGUUGGGUUAAGUCCCGCAACGAGCGCAACCCUUAUCCUUUGUUGCCAGCGAUUAGGUCGGGAACUCAAAGGAGACUGCCAGUGAUAAACUGGAGGAAGGUGGGGAUGACGUCAAGUCAUCAUGGCCCUUACGACCAGGGCUACACACGUGCUACAAUGGCGCAUACAAAGAGAAGCGACCUCGCGAGAGCAAGCGGACCUCAUAAAGUGCGUCGUAGUCCGGAUUGGAGUCUGCAACUCGACUCCAUGAAGUCGGAAUCGCUAGUAAUCGUGGAUCAGAAUGCCACGGUGAAUACGUUCCCGGGCCUUGUACACACCGCCCGUCACACCAUGGGAGUGGGUUGCAAAAGAAGUAGGUAGCUUAACCUUCGGGAGGGCGCUUACCACUUUGUGAUUCAUGACUGGGGUGAAGUCGUAACAAGGUAACCGUAGGGGAACCUGCGGUUGGAUCACCUCCUUA
Molecule: ribosomal RNA, 1542 nt
Filed under: Salmonella enterica
Lineage: Bacteria; Pseudomonadati; Pseudomonadota; Gammaproteobacteria; Enterobacterales; Enterobacteriaceae
Also listed under: 12 other names
Description: bacterial SSU rRNA
Rfam family: Bacterial small subunit ribosomal RNA
Source: RNAcentral